Long non-coding RNA from Amphimedon queenslandica, 515 nucleotides. RefSeq lists it as uncharacterized. NCBI's taxonomy places the organism in Eukaryota, Metazoa, Porifera, Demospongiae, Haplosclerida, Niphatidae. The record is from RefSeq and is a predicted model, not a curated record. The transcript has 5 exons.
CCUAAUAGUAAUUUCUAGUAAUACAUGGUGUACAUAAAAUGAAGUACAUUCAAGUAUUGAAGAUGAGGAACAUAGGGACACACCUCCAAUACACAUUAAAUGUUAAAAUUGGUACACACACAAUUAAAGUCUCAUACACAAUCAGACGUCACUUAUGUCCCUCCCACUGAUACAAAAUCAAAGUCAUUAGCCACACCCACUAAUAGAACUGGAGGGGGCGGAGCUCCAAAAACAUUGGCUGACUUUCAAAAAUUGACAAGUCGUGGAAAGCAAUCACCAGCUGGUCAACCAACCCAAUCAAACAGACCAAAAGUAAAUUAAUAAAAAAUCAGUGAGACAUACUGUUGACCUGAGGGCCGAAGCCAUAGAAGAGAACAUGUUACUAGCAGUUGAAUCAUUUCGAGCUAUUGGUUGCUCUGUUACUGAUAAUAUGGUGGAGGAACUAACAAGAGGAGACAAAGGAACAAUUGAUAAACUAAUAAUAGAAUUAAUUAAAUCUCGUGUAGUCCAUAUAU